This 480-nucleotide ribosomal RNA is filed under the name Fusarium oxysporum. Its description in RNAcentral is "partial 18S rRNA". The stretch from base 167 to 320 matches the Rfam family "5.8S ribosomal RNA". The record is from RNAcentral. Lineage: Eukaryota; Fungi; Ascomycota; Sordariomycetes; Hypocreales; Nectriaceae.
CCUGCGGAGGGAUCAUUACCGAGUUUACAACUCCCAAACCCCUGUGAACAUACCACUUGUUGCCUCGGCGGAUCAGCCCGCUCCCGGUAAAACGGGACGGCCCGCCAGAGGACCCCUAAACUCUGUUUCUAUAUGUAACUUCUGAGUAAAACCAUAAAUAAAUCAAAACUUUCAACAACGGAUCUCUUGGUUCUGGCAUCGAUGAAGAACGCAGCAAAAUGCGAUAAGUAAUGUGAAUUGCAGAAUUCAGUGAAUCAUCGAAUCUUUGAACGCACAUUGCGCCCGCCAGUAUUCUGGCGGGCAUGCCUGUUCGAGCGUCAUUUCAACCCUCAAGCACAGCUUGGUGUUGGGACUCGCGUUAAUUCGCGUUCCCCAAAUUGAUUGGCGGUCACGUCGAGCUUCCAUAGCGUAGUAGUAAAACCCUCGUUACUGGUAAUCGUCGCGGCCACGCCGUUAAACCCCAACUUCUGAAUGUUGACC